AUUGAACGCUGGCGGCAGGCCUAACACAUGCAAGUCGAGCGAGCGGCGGACGGGUGAGUAAUGUAUGGGGACUGCCCGAUAGAGGGGGAUAACUACUGGAAACGGUGGCUAAUACCGCAUACUAUCGGAUAACCCAUAUGGGAUUAGCUAGUAGGUGGGGUAAUUGCUCACCUAGGCGACGAUCUCUAGCUGGGCUGAGCGGAUGAUAUGCCACGCGUGAACUGAGACACUGCCGAGACUCCUACGGAGGCAGCAGUGGGGAAUAUUGCACAAUGGGCGCAAGCCUGAUGCAGCCAUGCCGCGUGUAGGAAGAAGGCCUUAGGGUUGGAAAGUACUUUCAGCGGGGAGGCGUUACCCGCAGAAGAAGCACCGGCUAACUCCGUGCCAGCCGCCGCGGUAAUAC
RNAcentral lists this ribosomal RNA (403 nucleotides) under uncultured bacterium. Its description in RNAcentral is "partial 16S ribosomal RNA". It matches the Rfam family "Bacterial small subunit ribosomal RNA", at positions 30 to 526 of the family's 1533-position model. The record is from RNAcentral.